GCUGGGUGCAGUGGCACACACCUGUAAUCUCAGCAGCUCAGGAGGCUGAGGCAGGAGGAUUGCCAGUUCAAAGCCAGCCUCAGCAACAGCGAGGCACUAAGCAACUCCGUGAGACCCUGUCUCUA
RNAcentral lists this small RNA (125 nucleotides) under Marmota monax (woodchuck). Lineage: Eukaryota; Metazoa; Chordata; Mammalia; Rodentia; Sciuridae. The record is from RNAcentral.